UUGCGCAUUUCAGCAGCAGAUAAACUAAAACAGGAAUGCUUCAAAGAAGAUUAACAUGGAUACUGAGCAAAGAUAAUAUGCAAAUUGGUCAGGUGCUCAAUUAAGGU
This 107-nucleotide small nuclear RNA is filed under the name Coturnix japonica (Japanese quail). The record is from RNAcentral. Lineage: Eukaryota; Metazoa; Chordata; Aves; Galliformes; Phasianidae.